Molecule: transfer RNA, 77 nt
Filed under: Kamptonema sp. PCC 6506
Lineage: Bacteria; Bacillati; Cyanobacteriota; Cyanophyceae; Oscillatoriales; Microcoleaceae
Description: tRNA-Leu
Rfam family: tRNA
About the family: Transfer RNA (tRNA) molecules are approximately 80 nucleotides in length. Their secondary structure includes four short double-helical elements and three loops (D, anti-codon, and T loops).
Source: RNAcentral
UGCUCUCGUGGCGGAACGGCAGACGCACUAGGGAGAGAACCUAGUUUUUUACAGGUUCAAAUCCUGUCGGGAGCAUC